This 213-nucleotide unclassified non-coding RNA is filed under the name plant metagenome. RNAcentral's name for it is "partial contains small subunit ribosomal RNA, internal transcribed spacer 1, and 5.8S ribosomal RNA". The record is from RNAcentral.
UUUCCGUAGGUGAACCUGCGGAAGGAUCAUUCAUAAUAAGUGUUUUAUGGCACUUUUUUAAAUCCAUAUCCACCUUGUGUGCAAUGUCAGGGUUGAUUUUUCUCUCGAGAGGAUCAACCCCAAACAUCAACUAUAUCUCAACUCCUUGUCUGAAAAAUAUUAUGAAUAAAACAAUUCAAAAUACAACUUUCAACAACGGAUCUCUUGGCUCUC